Molecule: ribosomal RNA, 293 nt
Filed under: uncultured bacterium
Lineage: Bacteria
Description: partial 16S ribosomal RNA
Rfam family: Bacterial small subunit ribosomal RNA
Source: RNAcentral
GUGACAGCCGCCGCGGUAAUACGGGGGGGGCAAGCGUUGUUCGGAAUUACUGGGCGUAAAGGGUUCGUAGGUGGCCAACUAAGUCAGACGUGUAAUCCCUCAGCUUAACUGGGGAACUGCGUCUGAUACUGGUGUGGCUUGAGUGCAGGAGAGGAACGCGGAAUUCCAGGUGUAGCGGUGAAAUGCGUAGAUAUCUGGAGGAACACCGGUGGCGAAGGCGGCGUUCUGGACUGCAACUGACACUGAGGAGCGAAAGCCAGGGGAGCAAACGGGAUUAGAUACCCGAGUAGUCC